GCAUCCCCGGGGUGCGAAGGGAGGACACCGACAGAGAAUCCCUUGGGUCAACGAGCGCCGAGAGCGACCGAGCAUCCCCGUGGUGAGGACGACGGUGCCAGGAGCAGCACGGAGAGUGAGAUAGCAUCCCCCGGAGGUGAGAAGGGUGGACACCAACAGAGAAUCUCCCAAGGGCAGCGGCGAAAACGGUGCCAGGAUCGGGAGGGAGCUCCGCCGACGCUACCGGAGCAUCCCCCACAGGUAUUGUAUUUUCCCAAAUAGGGUACGGAUCCCCACGGAGAGCGGCGGAGCAUCCCCGGGGUGAGAAAGGAAGACACGGACAGAGCAUCCCCCGGGGCAGCAAGCACCGAGAGCGGCCGAGCACCGCCCCAGAGCGAGGGACACGGAACCGGGAGCACCACGGGGACCCAUGGAGCAUCCACCCGGGUCAGCGGUGAAGAGGGUGCCGGGAUCGGGCGGGAGGAGCACGGACACCCACCGGAUCAUCCCCCACAGGGUAGGAAUCCCCACGGAGCAGCGAGAGCUGCGGAGCAUCCCCGGGGUGCGAAGGGAGGACACCGACAGAGAAUCCCUUGGGUCAACGAGCGCCGAGAGCGACCGAGCAUCCCCGUGGUGAGGACGACGGUGCCAGGAGCAGCACGGAGAGUGAGAUAGCAUCCCCCGGAGGGUAGGGAUCCCCACGGAGAGCGGCGGAGCAUCCCCGGGGUGAGAAAGGAAGACACGGACAGAGCAUCCCCCGGGGCAGCAAGCACCGAGAGCGGCCGAGCACCGCCCCAGAGCGAGGGACACGGAACCGGGAGCACCACGGGGACCCAUGGAGCAUCCACCCGGGUCAGCGGUGAAGAGGGUGCCGGGAUCGGGCGGGAGGAGCACGGACACCCACCGGAUCAUCCCCCACAGGGUAGGAAUCCCCACGGAGCAGCGAGAGCUGCGGAGCAUUCCCGGGGUGCGAAGGGAGGACACCGACAGAGAAUCCCUUGGGUCAACGAGCGCCGAGAGCGACCGAGCAUCCCCGUGGUGAGGACGACGGUGCCAGGAGCAGCACGGAGAGUGAGAUAGCAUCCCCCGGAGGGUAGGGAUCCCCACGGAGAGCGGCGGAGCAUCCCCGGGGUGAGAAAGGAAGACACGGACAGAGCAUCCCCCGGGGCAGCAAGCACCGAGAGCGGCCGAGCACCGCCCCAGAGCGAGGGACACGGAACCGGGAGCACCACGGGGACCCAUGGAGCAUCCACCCGGGUCAGCGGUGAAGAGGGUGCCGGGAUCGGGCGGGAGGAGCACGGACACCCACCGGAUCAUCCCCCACAGGGUAGGAAUCCCCACGGAGCAGCGAGAGCGUCGGAGCAUCCCCGGGGUGCGAAGGGAGGACACCGACAGAGAAUCCCUUGGGUCAACGAGCGCCGAGAGCGACCGAGCAUCCCCGUGGUGAGGACGACGGUGCCAGGAGCAGCACGGAGAGUGAGAUAGCAUCCCCCGGAGGUGA
Long non-coding RNA from Vidua chalybeata, 1480 nucleotides. RefSeq lists it as uncharacterized. The transcript is spliced from 6 exons. The record is from RefSeq and is a predicted model, not a curated record. Lineage: Eukaryota; Metazoa; Chordata; Aves; Passeriformes; Viduidae.